AGUGAACGCUGGCGGUAGGCCUAACACAUGCAAGUCGAACGGCAGCACAGUAAGAGCUUGCUCUUACGGGUGGCGAGUGGCGGACGGGUGAGGAAUACAUCGGAAUCUACUUUUUCGUGGGGGAUAACGUAGGGAAACUUACGCUAAUACCGCAUACGACCUACAGGUGAAAGCAGGGGAUCUUCUGACCUUGCGCGAUUGAAUGAGCCGAUGUCGGAUUAGCUAGUUGGCGGGGUAAAGGCCCACCAAGGCGACGAUCCGUAGCUGGUCUGAGAGGAUGAUCAGCCGCACUGGAACUGAGACACGGUCCAGACUCCUACGGGAGGCAGCAGUGGGGAAUAUUGGACAAUGGGCGCAAGCCUGAUCCAGCCAUACCGCGUGGGUGAAGAAGGCCUUCGGGUUGUAAAGCCCUUUUGUUGGGAAAGAAAAGCAGCAGGUUAAUACCCCGCUGUUCUGACGGUACCCAAAGAAUAAGCACCGGCUAACUUCGUG
This 492-nucleotide ribosomal RNA is filed under the name uncultured bacterium. RNAcentral describes it as "partial 16S ribosomal RNA". It matches the Rfam family "Bacterial small subunit ribosomal RNA", at positions 29 to 507 of the family's 1533-position model. The record is from RNAcentral.